CCGCAUCUGUGCAUGCAGCAUAUCAAUAAGCGGAGGAAAAGAAACUAACAAGGAUUCCCCUAGUAACGGCGAGUGAAGCGGGAAGAGCUCAAAUUUGAAAUCUUAAAGGUUUUCCCUUGACGAAUUGUAGUUUAAAGAAGUGUUUUCUGUUGAAGUUUUGGUAAAAGUUCUUUGGAAUAGGACAUCAUAGAGGGUGAGAAUCCCGUAUUUGACCUUUACUUUCAACUUUGUGAUACACUUUCAAAGAGUCGGAUUGUUUGGGAAUGUAGUCCCAAAAUGGGUGGUAAAUUUCAUCUAAAGCUAAAUAUUGGCGAGAGACCGAUAGCGAACAAGUACCGUGAGGGAAAGAUGAAAAGAACUUUGAAAAGAGAGUUAAACAGUACGUGAAAUUGUCAAAAGGGAAGCGUUUGACACCAGUGUUGUUUUUCUGAAAAUCAAUUAAAAUGGACUCGAUUUUGCUAUUGUUGAGACUUAUCAAGCUAACUGUUACAUUUUUGAGUCUUUUCUUUAAUGCACUUUUCAGUUAACAAGUCAACAUCAGUUUCUUUUGUUGUAAAAGGGUCAUUGGAAGGUGGCUUUCUUUUCGGAGAAAGUGUUUAUAGCCUUUGGCCUCUGCAAUCGGAGAGACUGAGGUCUGCAGCGUAGACUCUUCGGGGUUAGAUACAUUUGUGCUAAGUUAUAGCUUUUUAUAGACAACUUGUUGACUAUAAUUAGUCUUGUAGCUUACUCGCUUAUGCUAUUUUACCUACGCUUAGGAUGUUGAUAGUCACAGCGUGUAC
Molecule: ribosomal RNA, 779 nt
Filed under: uncultured Neocallimastigales
Lineage: Eukaryota; Fungi; Neocallimastigomycota; Neocallimastigomycetes; Neocallimastigales
Description: partial large subunit ribosomal RNA
Rfam family: Eukaryotic large subunit ribosomal RNA
Source: RNAcentral